GAUGAACGCUGGCGGCGUGCCUAAUACUUGCAAGUCGAGCGAACGGACGAGAAGCUUGCUUCUCUGAUGUUAGCGGCGGACGGGUGAGUACCACGUGGAUAACCUACCUAUAAGACUGGGAUAACUUCGGGAAACCGGAGCUAAUACCGGAUGAUAUUUUGAACCGCAUGGUUCAAAAGUGAAAGACGGUCUUGCUGUCACUUAUAGAUGGAUCCGCGCUGCAUUAGCUAGUUGGUAAGGUAACGGCUUACCAAGGCAACGAUGCAUAGCCGACCUGAGAGGGUGAUCGGCCACACUGGAACUGAGACACGGUCCAGACUCCUACGGGAGGCAGCAGUAGGGAAUCUUCCGCAAUGGGCGAAAGCCUGACGGAGCAACGCCGCGUGAGUGAUGAAGGUCUUCGGAUCGUAAAACUCUGUUAUUAGGGAAGAACAUAUGUGUAAGUAACUGUGCACAUCUUGACGGUACCUAAUCAGAAAGCCACGGCUAACUACGUG
Molecule: ribosomal RNA, 497 nt
Filed under: uncultured bacterium
Lineage: Bacteria
Description: partial 16S ribosomal RNA
Rfam family: Bacterial small subunit ribosomal RNA
Source: RNAcentral